CCUACGGGAGGCAGCAGUGAGGAAUAUUGGUCAAUGGGCGCGAGCCUGAACCAGCCAAGUCGCGUGAGGGAUGACGGUCCUACGGAUUGUAAACCUCUUUUGCCGGGGAGCAAGCGUGCGUUCGUGAACGCACGUCGAGAGUACCCGGAGAAAAAGCAUCGGCUAACUCCGUGCCAGCAGCCGCGGUAAUACGGAGGGUGCAAGCGUUGUCCGGAAUCAUUGGGCGUAAAGAGUUCGUAGGCGGCAUGUAAAGUCAGGUGUUAAAGGCGCAGGCUCAACCUGUGUAUGGCACUUGAUACUUGCAAGCUGGAAUGCGGUAGAGGUAAAGGGAAUUCCUGGUGUAGCGGUGAAAUGCUUAGAUAUCAGGAGGAACAUCGGUGGCGUAAGCGCUUUACUGGGCCGUAAUUGACGCUGAGGAACGAAAGCCAGGGUAGCAAAUGGGAUUAGAUACCCUAGUAGUC
Molecule: ribosomal RNA, 461 nt
Filed under: uncultured bacterium
Lineage: Bacteria
Description: partial 16S ribosomal RNA
Rfam family: Bacterial small subunit ribosomal RNA
Source: RNAcentral